UGCAGAAUCCCGUGAACCAUCGAGUUUUUGAACGCAAGUUGCGCCCGAUGCCAUUAGGCCGAGGGCACGUCUGCCUGGGUGUCA
Molecule: ribosomal RNA, 84 nt
Filed under: Bupleurum exaltatum
Lineage: Eukaryota; Viridiplantae; Streptophyta; Magnoliopsida; Apiales; Apiaceae
Description: partial 5.8S ribosomal RNA
Rfam family: 5.8S ribosomal RNA
About the family: 5.8S ribosomal RNA (5.8S rRNA) is a component of the large subunit of the eukaryotic ribosome.
Source: RNAcentral